This 72-nucleotide transfer RNA is filed under the name Bursaphelenchus xylophilus (pine wood nematode). It matches the Rfam family "tRNA". From Rfam's summary of the family: Transfer RNA (tRNA) molecules are approximately 80 nucleotides in length. Their secondary structure includes four short double-helical elements and three loops (D, anti-codon, and T loops). Lineage: Eukaryota; Metazoa; Nematoda; Chromadorea; Rhabditida; Aphelenchoididae. RNAcentral also lists the same sequence under 2 other names. The record is from Rfam by way of RNAcentral.
GCCUUAUUGGCUCAGGGGCAGAGCGUCUGUCUAGUAAACAGAAGGUCGCUGGUUCGAUUCCAGCAUGAGGCA